RNAcentral lists this ribosomal RNA (472 nucleotides) under Enterococcus faecalis. RNAcentral's name for it is "bacterial SSU rRNA". It matches the Rfam family "Bacterial small subunit ribosomal RNA", at positions 28 to 497 of the family's 1533-position model. Lineage: Bacteria; Bacillati; Bacillota; Bacilli; Lactobacillales; Enterococcaceae. The record is from RNAcentral.
GACGAACGCUAGCGGCGUGCCUAAUACAUGCAAGUCGAACGCUUCUUUCCUCCCGAGUGCUUGCACUCAAUUGGAAAGAGGAGUGGCGGACGGGUGAGUAACACGUGGGUAACCUACCCAUCAGAGGGGGAUAACACUUGGAAACAGGUGCUAAUACCGCAUAACAGUUUAUGCCGCAUGGCAUAAGAGUGAAAGGCGCUUUCGGGUGUCGCUGAUGGAUGGACCCGCGGUGCAUUAGCUAGUUGGUGAGGUAACGGCUCACCAAGGCCACGAUGCAUAGCCGACCUGAGAGGGUGAUCGGCCACACUGGGACUGAGACACGGCCCAGACUCCUACGGGAGGCAGCAGUAGGGAAUCUUCGGCAAUGGACGAAAGUCUGACCGAGCAACGCCGCGUGAGUGAAGAAGGUUUUCGGAUCGUAAAACUCUGUUGUUAGAGAAGAACAAGGACGUUAGUAACUGAACGUCCCGGA